This is a long non-coding RNA of Eucalyptus grandis, 221 nucleotides long. RefSeq lists it as uncharacterized. Lineage: Eukaryota; Viridiplantae; Streptophyta; Magnoliopsida; Myrtales; Myrtaceae. The transcript has 3 exons. The record is from RefSeq and is a predicted model, not a curated record.
CUCGAGCAAAUUGAAUGGGGCAAUUAUUGCUGCUUUGGUAGAACUUUCGUCAUUGGAAUCCUUGGACCUGUCGAACAAUAGCUUAACCGGACCAGUGCCUGAGUUCUUGGGAGAACUCAAAAACUUGAAGUACCUGAACUUGAGAGGCAACAAUCUAUCAGGAGCUGUGCCUAAAGCUCUUUUAGAAAGAUCGAAUGCGAGGUUGCUCACAUUGAGGUUGG